GAAGAGCGAUUAUCCACACGCGUAUUCGUCGGUAGAUCUUUGCGGAAAACAGAGGCGUCUGAGAUUGGCAAAGAUGGAAAGUGACCUGAGACCGUGGAGAAAAAUUUCAAUGAUCAGCGCUGGCUCUUUUCACUGGAAUCAAGUUCAGCGAUUAUAUACAUACCGCCAAUCGUAUUCCACGAAGUGACCAGUUACUAUAUUCACGGCCUUCCUCGGAUGGGUUUGAAUUAUCAAUAAAUUGUGGCAAUGAUCCCAGGGCCUAGUCCAGAUGCCGCUUCAUCCCUCAUUGUUAAUCCCGACUUAAGCCCAGAUAAAACCCAGGAGAGUCAAGAGGACGGUGGGGGAGUCUUUUCUUCCUUUUCUCUUGAUGUCCCAGAUGCCGUCAAUGGACCACGGACGUAUCUUAUACGCUGUGUGGAUAAUCGAAGAAGAGAUACUGCCUGAAGAUAGCUGAUAAAGGAAUAUGAGGACAAAAAGUAAAACGACUUGGUGAUUGGGAAGGCGUGUGGAUGGAUCUUAAUUGCUGCUGCGUUGGUACAGCCAAGGUGAAGGAAAAGAUAAAAGGUGGAAGGUGGAAGGUAACUGGAAAUGCAGCCAAUGACACGAAGGAGAUUCAACCUUAUAAUGCAUCUGCCUUGAGUACAGGAGAGUUAGCGAAAAAUCGAAAUAAUUUAACGCGCGAAAAACUCUGCAGCUGCAGCUCACAUGAGUCACGCGACAAUACUGUCAUUAUUACAGGCGUGUAGGGAUAAAUAAUUGUGCUGAUGUAGAAUUUAUUAGCGAAUGUUAAAGAUUUCCAACCACAUCUCAUCGAACCAGUUCCUCUGGUCUAACUGACCUACACUUACUGAUGUCCUGGUGCACCCAGGUUGACGAACCUUUAGGAACGACCAGCGCGCCCCGGGCUAAUUCGCAUUCAAUCAAGUACACUCACGGUUCGUAAGCCAUCGCCUUGAACCUCUUCUUUAUUUUAUUCCUCGACACGAAGGAUGAAAAUUCUUCUGGCUACUAGAAGCAUCGCGACGUCGAUUCCUAAUGCCAGAGUGACGUUUUACCAUUUAACGAUGAAUUUUCCCAAGGCACCCUAAGCGUCAGUGCUCGAGUACUUUCAAGGAACCCCAAACACCCUCCGAAUUGGCCGCUGGAUACAAUAACUUUUGCUACGUCCCUAAAAGCUGCGGUACUUUCGAGUACUCUUGAGAUUGAUGUAAGAAGUCAAGUUGCUGAUUUUACUGUUUCCAAGUAAAUCCAACAUGGCGAAGUGUUUCUGCAACGUCGACGUGACGGUUAUACGCAUUCUGAUGGAGGUUGGAGGAUCAGAUGAGUGACAGAGUGAGAAUAGACAGAAUUUCAAUUGAAUCCACCAGUAGGACACGAUUUUUCAUUUGGAAACAUCUGCAAGUUCUUCUAUAGGUAAGUCAUUCAAAAAAUACUUUCAUUUAACUCAGUAUGAAGUAACAGUAAUAAGGAAACUAAUAGGGAGAGAUCUGGUUGGCUAGAAAUGUUGGACCUCAUUUUUGGACGCAAUAAAUGAGGUCAACUUACACCACUAGAAGCGUGCAAUAUAAAUUAUUAAAUUUAUACUGAAUAGUAAUGUCAGUUUAAUGAGAAAAAUUAUAUUUAUGUUAAUACCUUAUUUAAUGUCUUCUUACAAGUUGGCAUAGUAUAGCCAUCUAUGGGGAUUUUGGAGAACUACGCCGAAGGGUAGCCCAGAACAACCAACUGGUAAAACCAUGUGAAUUGCAAAUACUCAAUAAAUUUCCAUGUCGGUAAUGUUAUCGUUUGAUUCCUAAUGAGUGUACCUACUGUAACAAUUAAAAGGAAAAUAGAUAAAUGUUGUAAAUAACAGUCUACAGCGUUAGUAUUUCCUCCACUCGUCUACUUAUCUGCUCGUCUACUCGUCCGCUAUUCUAUUCUACCAACUGGCGCUUAUCAGCCUCUACGACAGUUUCCAAAAAUUCCUUUAGAGUACGCGGAAAGACAAUUCGGCAGGUGAAUUUUCCUGACGAGUAUUUUAGUUAAUUCUGGAAAAUUCCGCCAGAUGGCAAUGUCAAGCGCCUACGAAA
This is a long non-coding RNA of Cephus cinctus (wheat stem sawfly), 2066 nucleotides long. RefSeq lists it as uncharacterized. The record is from RefSeq and is a predicted model, not a curated record. The transcript has 7 exons. Lineage: Eukaryota; Metazoa; Arthropoda; Insecta; Hymenoptera; Cephidae.